UGUGCCACGAGCAUGAAUUCUAACCACAAGUUGCCAAUUUACACCUUCGACCUUUCUCUCAACAUCAUCCAAAUUUCGAUGUGGUCUGUGAACGUAAGAACACAGACCACAUUCUUACGGAUAACUCUGAAUUCCCAUUUUAAUCAUUAAGUGUGAAGUAAAAUGAAACAGUAAAAAUAUUCGACAAGUACCAAGAGAACAAAACUCCAAUCUUGUUUCGGCAUACGCCCACCAGACUACAGCCCAAAAUGGACUCCAUCGUGGUUUCAAGAAUUCAAAAAUAAAUUUCCUUAACUUUCCACCCUACCUCCUAUUCGGGCAAAUGCACUCCUAUCGCAAAAGAGAAAAGAAAGAAAAAAGAAAGACAUUUCCAGUUGCUAAAGUUUAAAUUCCAUUUGAAGUUGGCAAAUAGCCUCGCUUAACCGAACAAGGAUUAAUUUGAAAUGGAUGCUGGAACCGUUAGUACUCUUGCACCAGACUGAUUGACGUAUCAUUGUUUUUCAUAAACAAAGUAGGUGAGGGUCGUCAAACAGUCUCGUGAUUCGACACAACUACCGUCUUUUCGCGAAUACUUCCCCAAUUCGAACCGGUUUACACCGUUGUAUCAUCCAUUACACCAUAGUAUUUGGCUACGACCUUCAGUUCACAUUCGUCAGAGUUCCGGAAAUAUGUAUGUUAGUCCCGAACUCCUUCCUGGUAAUAAAAUCUUCGCUGUAGCUGUUGGACUGUUCCGAGGAUGGCAAAUGAGUUUUAUUGAGGAAAAAUCGAAGCGUCUACAAGUCAGACAUUUGCACGUGGAGAAAAAUGGAUGAGAUUAUUUCAUCAGACGACAGUGGUGCAUGGCGGUAACCUGAAUCCAAGCUUUCCACAGGUAAACAAUAAGAAGCAAGAGGUUGUUUAAUUUUGAAGGUAUCCACAUAUUUCACACUAAAGCAAAUGACAGCAAGUUCUGGAAAACAGAUUUUUACGUCUGUAAUUUCAUUCCAGAAGGGAUUUAACCCGUUACCAUUCAUCAAGUCGUUUGGGGAGAUUCUGGACGCUAAUGAUCCGCAACUGUAACAUUUUACUUGAUUUGCACGACGACGGAAUCCUUGCAAUUUUACCGAGCAGCCAAUCCGGAGUCUGAAAAUUUAACGCCACCAUUUGGCAUCCAAAAUUCCAGUAAUAGACUGGACUGAAAUUACUGGAUGCUAUUCGUGUAGCGGUGGGAUAAACUCGGAUCAUUGUUUGGGAUGUGGGUUUCAGCCGCGUUUCUUUAGGUAAUUUUUUCAGGUAGGUUGUUGCUUCUAUUUCUGACAUUGAGACGACGGAAUAGCACGGCGUAGUAUGCCCAACCUUUUGGCCUUCCAUCUUUUCAAAGUUGGGGAACGAUUUACAAAAGUUAAUGAGACACUGCAGGGCAGGAGAGCAGACUUUGGCUCCGGUGACCUUUAUAAUAAUUUUCCCACGAAGUUGAUUAGGCGAAAGGAGUGACGCUUUGUUUCCUGCAUUUUCUUCGACAGCCCAAAACAGAGCAGGACCGAAAAUUUGGCGUAAAUCUUGCGCGAAAAUAGUUUGCUGUGAACGUGACAAGUGAUUCUCCGCCGACAAAAUCAAGGGGAAAGGAGAGAAUUUAAACGCAAAAGACUAUAGGUUGACUGUUUGGACCAUCCCAAAGAUCUUUGAGAAAAUUUGACAACAAUUAAUGAGUUACACACCAGGAAGUGUAGCAAGUCACAAGGUUUACCUAGUUCAAGGCACCGGCAACCACGCUCCAAAGCGGAAGCG
RNAcentral lists this long non-coding RNA (1767 nucleotides) under Daphnia magna. RNAcentral describes it as "uncharacterized LOC116924848". Lineage: Eukaryota; Metazoa; Arthropoda; Branchiopoda; Diplostraca; Daphniidae. The record is from RNAcentral.